This 181-nucleotide ribosomal RNA is filed under the name uncultured bacterium. Its description in RNAcentral is "partial 16S ribosomal RNA". It matches the Rfam family "Bacterial small subunit ribosomal RNA", at positions 1320 to 1500 of the family's 1533-position model. The record is from RNAcentral.
ACGAAGUCGGAAUUGCUAGUAAUCGUAGGUCAGCAUACUACGGUGAAUACGUUCCCGGGCCUUGUACACACCGCCCGUCAAACCAUGGGAGUUGGCAACACCCGAAGUCGGUAGUCUAACCGCAAGGAGGACGCCGCCGAAGGUGGGGUUGAUGAUUAGGGUUAAGUCGUAACAAGGUAGC